UACCUUUCCAUGAGCUCACCUCUGUUCCACUCCCAUCUCAUAAAGGGUGUGACAGAUACUUCACAGAAGGCAAGGAGAAAACAGGUCAGAAGUAUGUUAUUGGGGGCUUAGCACUGAUUUUGGUUCUGACAAGCUGGCCACUCAGAGACAGCAGUAGCUAUGUCUGUCUCAGUAUGUGGUAGACCAUGCUGUUGGGCCCAUAUAUAUAUAGCCUCCAUGCCUGCCACUGGGGCUACUUCAUUCACGUACCCACUGUGUCAGUUCUGGGAUGACUAAAAUCAACUGGGUCAUCAUGAGUGAAGUCUUGAGCCACUGAGCCACUACCACCUUGUGCCAAAUACUAUCUGUGCCCUGCCUGCCAACCAGGAUGACAACCCUUCACCUGCCAGGUGGAGAGAGACAGCAGCAGGCUAACUAGUUGUCUGUUAAGAACAUCCAGAGCAGGACCAGAAUCUGGGCCAGGAACUGAGAGACAGAUUGGGACAACGGAACAAAUCUACCAGGGAUGCUCAAUAAAGGAAUGUAGAAGAAUGUUGGGAGAGAAGCAUUCUCACCUAUUUCUGAUCUUAACAGCUGAAAGUGGACUCACAGAGGGCUGUGUUCCAGUGGACAUGUUAUUCAUUCCGUCUAAGCAGAAGGAUUCCAACCUCACUUACUAACUAGCUGAAGAAACGUUUCCCUAGAGAUUUCAUUCCAAAUGGUAGGUUCCUUAAGGCACACCUAAGCUAGCAGGCGAUCUUUUUCUCCAUGUCCAUCUCAUAUAUUCUAGGAAUUAAAGUUCAAAAUCUGUUUUUUAAUGUUUAACAUACCCUGUAAGGAGGAACACUAUUUAAGGACAACAGAUUAUCUUGAUUACUUCUAUGCAAUGUGUAUACUGCUAUUUUUUUUUUAAAUCAAAUAAGUAACUAUCCUUUAAGGGGGAACAACCUACUACAUAAAUAAGAGCUUUCCAGGUAGAAAAAUCAGACAAGUCAAUGAAUUAUAACUUCAUUCCACCCAAGCCUUCAUGUAUAGAUCAGGAAAACACAGUAUUUAGGAACGAAAGAUCUUACUGAGCUUGAACACAGCACUACUUGUAUUAGUGUACCCUAAUGCAUUAAUAAUGACAAGCAAAAAAAUGUUUCUCUUUCCUUUACAUGUCAAAUUAUUUUGAUGUUAUUUUAUUUUAUCUGCUCAACAUUACAUUUCUUUUUGUUCCCUGUAAAAAUUAUGUUUUUAAGAUGGAAAAAGCCAGCAAUGUGGCACAUAUGCUUAUUGUUAUAAAGGAUUUUAGAACACUUAAAGAUUUGAAAAAAGAGAAAAACUUGUCUCAUUAGUUUGGGCCUUGUAAUUAGAAAUCUGUUACACUAUAAAAUGGGCUAAGCUUAAGUUUAUUUGUACGUUACUUAAAAACUUUUUUUCCUUUGUUUGAGACAAGGUUGUGCUCUGUUGCCCGGGCUGGAGUGCAGUGGGGCAGUGAUUCUCCCACCUCAGCCUCCUGAUUAGCUGGGACUACAGGCACAUGCCAUCAUGCCUGGCUAAUUUUUGUAAGGAUGGGGUUUUGCCAUGUUGCCCAGGCUGGUCUCAAACUCCUGGACUCAAGCAAUCCAUCUGCCUCAGCCUCACAAAGUGCUGGGAUUACAGUCAUAAGCCACCAUGCUCAGUCUUGUAUAUUACUUUCUUUAAAUAGAAAAUAACAAGCUGAGAAUCACAAGAGAAAGACUCAAAUGAAAUAAGAGAAAAAGUAUGUUAAAAGAAUUCUAAAUUCUUUCUAGUUUUAUUUAUGAGGUCCUUUGUGUCAAUCACAUUCCCUAGACAAACUUAUUGUUCUCUGAACAUGCUUAGUAUUUUCUUACCUCUGUCUUUGCCCAUGCUAGUCUAUCUUUAUAAUGCCACCCCAAUCCCCUCCCCACAUCGCUACCUUUUGAAAUUCUACCCUUCUUUUAAAAACCCAGCUCAAAUUACACCUUCCCAAUAGUCUCCCCUGAUCUCUUCUCAUACCAGAAAUUCUCCCUCUCCCCAGAAGCCAUAUAGAAGGUAGACAUAAAGCACCAGUACUUGGUGAAAAGUUUUAAGGGAGUGGUAACUUUAUACAGCCAGUACUAUCUACCUCAUAACAGCUUCCGGAAAUAGUUCUGGUAUCUCAAAUUUGACUUAUAGUACAGCACAGACAAGGAUUCAUACCAAUACUAUAUAUUUUGCAAAGGAUUACACCAUCUACAUGUGUAGGUAUACAUACACACAAGACACACACACGUUCAAGAGAUACUGAUGACCUGCAAUACACAAGUGCUUUUUAAGAAAGAGGAACAGAACAAAAUUAAAAACAAACCAACAACAAAAAAGUGAGCCACUGUCCUAAAUUCAAAGGUGUAGUUACUACUUAUUUCUGGGAAACAAAAUCAAAAGUCUAGUGUCUAUAAAAGCAUUUAAAGAAGCCUGGGGCCGAUUGUCGCUUGUCUUAUUUAGGAAGGGUUAGAAGAGUUAUUCACAGGGAAAAGUAACACUGAUUAUCUUAAUUUUGAAUCCAGAGCUGUUCAAGUGGCUUUGUGACCUCCAGUAAACCAAUAAACUAACCGUAUAGAACUAUAACUCAAGUAUCUCUAGUGGAGUAUAUUUAAAGGAACAGAAAGGUCAUAUCUAAUGUUACAGCCCAACACUUUGUGCUUCUAAUAAGAAACUGAAAGCACUGUAAUGAAAUACAAGGCCUCUGAGAGGGUCAGAAAGACUUACCAAUAAAACUCAUCAAGAAACAACUGCAGCUCAAACAGUCCAUGAGAUUCAUGAUCACAAAUUUCAAUAUUUAGUGACCUCUAAAGCUAGACAAGUGUGGCUUAAAUGUGAGCAGCCUGAAUCAUGAUCACACUUAGGGCCAAUGGUGAGAAAUAGAUAGAGACAUAUUUCUAGCCUAGCAACUAAUUUUUUGGCCCCUGGGUAGUUUCUGUGCUUUCUUUCCUCUCAAUCCUCCAAUGGCACAUGCCUUCUUAGCAGUUUCUAUGUUCACCUGCCUUUCCCUUUCAGUGGCAGUGAGUCAUUAACAGCCAAAUCCACAAGGACCCUCUGUUACCUGUUAUCUGGGGGAGCAAGAGAUAAAACAUCUCACUAGUUAUAUCAUCUUUCAAUGUAGCCUUUUAGAUAAUUUCAACAUUUUCUGAGUUAACCAUCUUAAACAUUAUUCCAGAGCUAACAGUGAGGUAGGUUACAAAUAUAAGUACUUUUUUGGGGGUAGAGACAGGGUCUCCCCAUGUUGCCCAGGCUGGUCUCGACCUCCUGAGCUCAAGCAAUCCUUCUGUCUUGGCCUCCCGAAGUGUUGGGAUUAUAGGUGUGAGCCACCAUACCCAGCCCACAUUUCUUUUUUUAAUGUGGCUUUUUGUUUUUGACAAAAUACUUCUCUUCCUUGAGAACCACUGCUUUCAGAUAAAGUGUUUAUAAGUCAAAGAUGCUUAUCUGCAGCCAUUCAUUAUUUCAUUCUAUAGAUUUUAUUAAGUGCCUAUUAGGUGCAAGGCUGUUACAAACUCUAAGUAUACAGCAGCAGAUUCACAGAUAAGAGACCUAUUCUCAUCUAAUGGGGCAGACUGAUAAUAAAUUUAAAACAAGUAACUAACAGUUUCAAAUACUGGCGAAUGCUAUGAAAACAAACCAGGAGAAUAAGCCUGAGUGUGAUUUUGGGGAGAGGGUGCCCCUUUAGAAAGGGAGGCAGGGAAGUCAGGGGAAACUCGGCUGUGACUUGAAGCCAUCUAAAGAAACAGAAGUCUAGGUAGGGGGAAAACAGUGAGUGUUGAGGCAUAAAUGAGUUUGGCAUGUUCAGGAACAGAAAGUCAGUCAGUGCGGCUGGAACACAGUAAGAAUGGAGAGUGUGGCAGCAGACAAGGUAGGAGAUGCAAGCUGCAGUCAGAUCAUGUGGGGUCUUAGAUCCUUUAAAAAAAAAGUUUAGAUUUUAUUCCAGGUACAGUAGAAAGCCACUGAAAGGAGUUAAGCAAGAAAGGGAUUUAUGUUUUUAUAAGAUAACUCUGGCUUUGAUAUGAAUAAAGGAUUACUGCCAUAUAGAUACUCUGUAGAUAUAACUGAUGACAGAAAUUUAGGGUGGUCAAGCAUAGAUUAUUUGCUUUAACUUGAAAUUAAAUAAUAGGAUGGCUAAGAGAACACUGACCUCCAUCCCCUGCCUAAAACAAAAAGAAAGGAAGGAGCCACCUGACCAGAUUUCCACUCUGCUGCAAACUAGACUUUUUAAAAAGUAUUUGUAAGAAACAAUAGUUCUGAAACCAUUCUAUAGUUCGGAGAGUCCUAAGUAUGUUUUUCUUAACUCCCACCUUACCACUUGCAAAUCUAAAAUCAAAAGAGCAGCCUCAACCGUGACACUCUAAAAGAGGCUUUAGUUACAGUAAAGUCUCUGUAAUUUAUAGCUACUAAAUUAUCAUUUCCCUUAGAUAGUUAAUAUAAAGAAACGAAAAGUUAGCUCCUCUGUAUUUGAUGACUAAUGAUGUAAAUACAACUAUGAAAGGAAUGGUUUAACCCGUGAAGUUUUAAAUCUGUAAGAAACACCGAUUGCAAAUCAACCUUUGAUAAAUUGACUGGACUAGUCACCACAGUUUUCUUUUAAGAAUUUCCUGGGACUAGGCAUGGUGGUUCACACCUGUAAUCCCAGAAUUUUGGGAGGCCAAGGAGGGAGGAUCACUUGAGCCCAGGAGUUUGAGUGCAAGACCAGCCUGGGCAACAUAGCGAGACCACAUCUCUACAUGAAAAAAAAGUUUAAAAAAAUUUUCCUUGGUCUGCUAAUUCAAAUUACUGUAAAUAUUGUAUUUCAAGGUAACAAAAUUCUAUAUUUUUAAAAGAUUUAUUGAAAGCCAUUUUUCACUAGUUUAUGGGACCAUCUUUUUUGUCUGAACUAGUUAAGAUUUUGCUUGAUCUUAAAACAAAAGCAAACAUUAUCAGCAUAAGAAAAUGUAACAUAUGACCAUACCUCCACUUUAAUUCUCUUUGGGGAUAAUUCAUCUCUUUCUCCACAUUUUGACCUAAGGGAAAGGGGAGAGAAAAAAAAAAAAAAACUUGAGAAAGUAACUGAUUUUAUUCCAAAGGCAUCUCAGCCUAUAACCUUCCACCAAAACAUAUACCCUGAAACUCCAACACCAGAAAUGACAUAUUCAUAAUGAUCAUUAAAAUAAUGAAGAAAAGAUCUUUCAUCAUUUCCAAGUUAACACUAGGGGAAGGUAUAGAUACAAUUAUACAUUUUAAAAGGCCACUACCUAAGAACUCACCACCUCUGGCUUUGGUAUGAAAGCCACUCAAUAAUUUUUUUUUUUAAAGAUGGGGUCUCACUAUGUUCAACCCAGACUAGCCACAAACUCCUAGGCUCAAGUGAUCCUCCCACCUCAGCCUUCCAAAUUGCUGGGAUUACAGGCGUGAGCCACUGUGCCCAGCCUAGCACUUAAUAAAUAUUUAAUGAUCAUCACAUAAUGAAAAAAAAAUCAAGGAGGAUAUCCCUUUAUGGUUCAGUAGGAAUAAUUUAGGAUAAAAUGACUAAAAUGACCACUUAAGAUGUAUGUUUAUGGCUACAUGAGAUUAAAAUGCAUUUUGUCUAUCUACAGAAACUACAGAUGUAUUUACCCUGACCCAGCAAUUUCUCUGCUGGGAAAACCUAUCCCAGUGGUACCUACAUAUAUAUAUAUAAAAUGAUGCUCCAUCAAUGGUAAGACACAGAAUUAUUUCAUGUACCACUAUGAAAUUAAUUAAACUAUGACAAGCCAUCAACUACAAGUUAUACUUCAAUAUAAAAGAUUUGUUAAAAUGUGAAAAAGUACAUCUCAGAAUCAACAAAACAUAUUAUGUAUGAUGUUAUUUAUUGUGGUUUUACAAUAAAAGACUAGACACAACCCCAGUAGCCAUCAAUAGGGGCUAAAUGAAUCACAGCACAUCCACACAAUUCAAUACCAUGCAGCCGUAAAAAAAUAAUGAGGGCACCUUAGGAGUCCAAGGUGGCUUCUAAAUUAUGUAAAAGUGUUAACAUAUUUUAAGGUACAUUUAACUUUAAAGGAAAGGUGAGCCUAGGCACAGUGGCUCACGCCUGUAAUCCCAGCACUUUGGGAGGCCAAGGUGGGUGGAUUACAAGGUCAAGAGAUCGAGACCAUCCUGGCCAACAUGGUGAAACCUCGUCUCUACUAAAAAUACAAAAAUUAGCUGGGCAUGGUGGUGCACGCCUGUAGUCCCAGCUACUUGGGAGGCUGAGGCAAGAGAAUCGCUUGAACCCAGGAGGUGGAGGUUGCAGUGAACCAAGAUCGAGCUAUUGCACUCCAGCCUGGUGACAGAGCAAGACUCCGUCUCAAAAAAAAAAAAAAAAAAAAAAAAAGGAAAGGUGAAGGUAAAUACUAGAGGAAAUGGCUAAAAAUCGGUGAAGGCAGUUGCCUCUGGAACAUGGAACUGAGAAGCGGGAAGGCAGAGCACAGGAACCGUUGAGUUUCAUUGUUAGCCUUACAUGUUAUACAACUUCUUGAACUGUGGACAUGUAUCACUUUGAUUAAAGAAAAUUAUUUAAAUAAAGUACUCAGAAAGAAAAUAGUGUAUAAUACAAUGAAGAAAAUUAAAAAUCAGCGAAUCAGCUCUUGAUUAUCCAACUCCAAAAAAAAAACCUUAUAAAUAAUCCCAUAGAAUGUUGCUGUAUAUUCUUACCCUGUUCACUUAGUCUACAUGAUUUUACUUGUCAGUUAUAAAUACGUAGGUACUGACGUAGGGCAGAAAAUGAAACUGCUGUGAAUUAGGAAAAAUAAUGGUAAUGAUGGCAAAUGCCUAUAGUGCUGGUUUUCAAACUUAGGAUGCACAAGAAUGCUCUGGGAUGCUUGUGAAAGUUCAGAUUCCAGAGUUCCAUCCCCAAAGAAUGUGAUUGAUUAGGGCUGGAAAGGGUGCUCAGAAUGUGAAUUUUCAACAAAAACUUAGAGUUACUCUAAUGCAGUGGUCAUCUGCAUCCAGAGAAACAGUGGCAGGCACAACACAAUGCGGGCUGGAAAUCGGGGUCUGUGUGGAAUCAAGUGAACAAAAUCAAAUGGUCCUAUCCUGUAGACAAUGCUUAUGGCUCAAGUAAGGAUAGGGUGAAGAAAAAUAUGCUGUGUUUACAUUAAAUUUUGAAACCACCAUUGCUUUUUAACAUCACGUUUUAUUUCAAACUUGUGUUCCAUAACCCAUGUGCUAGUAAUAGAAGUAUCUUUCAAUUUUCCCUUAGAUACUAGUCAAUAGAGUCGUUUUACAUAUUCAGCUAAUCUCAUCAGAUUCAAACACCUUGCAAAAAGGACCAUUCUAUUUCCUCAGAGUUCAACAAGUUCACGUAGUUAGCGGGUGUACAAAUACGUCUAUAAAUGCUGUCUGACUAAAUCCCCUCGUCACACUCAAAACCAAAGUGUGUGUAUGAGAGAAGAAUGUUUAAAACCACUACCAGAACAAUGCUAUAGUAACUAGAGAAUGAUGCCUUUCAAAAGAGAACAGUGAGAAUUAAACAACAAAAAUCACCUUGGCAAUGUUUUCAAAAUCACUGCAUUGUUUAGUUUCAUAGAACAAUAAUCAUACUUCCACUUUUUCAGAAAUGCUUAUAUUCUAUCAAUAGAUGAUGUUUCGAACUCUACUUCUCUCAAGCAAUGCAAAAAUAAUGACGAUUAGUUAAAUACUUACUUGGUGGUUCUGUAAGUAUAUUUAUAGGUGACUUCUCGAGAAAUCUGUCGAGCCAAGGCAAAAAGCUCAUCUCUUCUUGUCAGCAGGGCAUUAUCCUUCACACAGAGUUGAGCAGCCGCUUCAUUAACAGUGAGCUGGAUAUCCAAAACAGAGUUUCAAAAUUAAGAACAUUUUAAUUUCAUCAAAAUGCAAAAGGUUUCACUUAAAAUAUAAGAAUGUUACACCAUUAUAUAAUGGAAUCAUUAUUCAUAAAAAUCAGAAUGGUAUUUAUUCCUAAUUAUUCCUAAUGCCGAAUUUCAGAAGAAAACCAACUCAUCUGCCAUCUCACAGAGCCCAAAUUAAUCAUAAUAGUCAUCUUGAUUUUAUUUAUUUAUAUCCUUUUUUUGGUUAGAUAGGAGAGUUUAUAGACGACAAGGAAAAUAAAAAGUAAAAAAUAUUCUGCAACUCGCUUAUAAAAAAACCCAAAAUAUUAGAAUACAGGAUUUGCUGACACCAUUUCUCUAACCAAAAAUGAAUGUAGAUGGUCUGACAGAUUUUUUAUGAACUGACAUGAAAAUUCUUAAAAAGGAAUCAAGACCAUAUGAUUUUAAACAUUUAUCAAAUCACUUAGUAAAAAACAGAGUUAUCAUAUACUAGGGCUAUAUUGGAAAAUCAAGGUGUUGGACUAAUCUCUAAGAUCCAUCUAAUUCUACCACCCUUUCAUAAUUCAGUAAUUAUUAAAUAUUGCCAAUAUAGAGUUGCUAGUUGACCAAACACUUUGUACUAAAAUUUUGUUACCCUAAACACAAAAUCUGUAAUUGUUUAACAAACUAGAAAUUUUUUCACAUAAUUUUGUCAAUAGAUAUAGGAAACUGUCAAGAGGUAUAUCAGACUUUUUUAAUAUGCAAAAGAUGUACUUAGCCAAGGCAUGAUGAUUAGCAAAAAGAAAAUGGGACGUGAUGGCAGACAGACCUGAGGAGAGUCCUGCUUCAUCAUUUACCAGCUGUGACUCUGGACAUGCAAAACUUUUGAGAGGCUUGGUACUUGGUAUUCUGAGAGGCAAAAUGGGAUAAUAUCACUAUCCCAAAAGGCUCUAACAAGAUGUAGAUGAGGAGACACACCUGGCAUAAGGUUGUGGUUAGUGUUAAUUCUUGUUUUCUUUUCAUAAGAAAUCAGGUACGGCAGUACCCCCUUACCCACAGUUUUGCUGUCUGAGGUUUCAGUUACCUGUGGUCAACUGGGACCCAAAAAUAUUAAAUGAAAAAUUAUACAAAUAAACAAUUCAUAAGUUUUAAACUGUGUGCCAUCUCACUCUGUCUCAUCCAAGUGAUGAAUCAUCCCUUUGUCCAGUGUAUCUACACUGUCUAUACUCCUGGCUGUCAGUCACUUGGUGGCCAUCUCAGUCAACAGAUGGACUCUUCUGAUAUCUCAGUGCUCAUAUUCCAGUUACCCUUAUUUGACUCAACAAUGGCCCCAAAGUGCAAGAGCAGUAAUGCUGGCAUAUUGUUCUAAUUGUCCUACUUUAUUAUUAUUAAUAGUUAUUGUUGUUAAUCUCUUGCUGUGCCUAAUUUAUAAGUUAAACUUUAUCAUAGGUAUGCAUGUAUAGGGACGAACAGUAUAUAUAAGGUUUGGUACCAUUUGCAGUUUCAGGCAUCCAACUGGGGGUCUUGGAAUGUGUCCCUCACAGAUAAGAGGGGACUACUGUAGUCACCCUUUCUCCCUACCCAGGCAUCUCAUCUUUAUUUAGAAUAAUUUUUCUUACUUAAAAUUUUUGAAAACAAAAAUAAAUAGCAUGCAAUCAUUCCAUCCAGAAUGACAAUAUUCUAAUAUACAUUAUUCCAAU
This 9454-nucleotide long non-coding RNA is filed under the name Homo sapiens (human). RNAcentral's name for it is "HSALNT0044925". Lineage: Eukaryota; Metazoa; Chordata; Mammalia; Primates; Hominidae. The record is from RNAcentral.